CCCUUAGAUGUCCUGGGCCGCACGCGUGCUACACUGACGCCUACAGCGAGUACUUCCCAGCCCCGAGAGGUGGCUGGUAAUCAGCAAUAGGCGUCGUGAUGGGGAUAGAUCUUUGGAAUUAUGGAUCUUGAACGAGGAAUGCCUAGUAAGCGCAGGUCAAUAGCCUGCGCUGAUUAAGUCCCUGCCCUUUGUACACACCGCCCGUCGCUCCUACCGAUUUCGAGUGGUCCGGUGAAUCUUUCGGACUGCGCGCGGCCUCGCGCCGUGUCGCGGAAAGUCAGGUAAACCUUAUCACUUAGAGGAAGGAGAAGUCGUAACA
This 319-nucleotide ribosomal RNA is filed under the name uncultured eukaryote. RNAcentral describes it as "partial 18S ribosomal RNA". It matches the Rfam family "Eukaryotic small subunit ribosomal RNA", at positions 1470 to 1796 of the family's 1831-position model. The record is from RNAcentral.